UACGUAGGGACCAAGCGUUGUUCGGAUUUACUGGGCUUAAAGGGCGCGUAGGCGGGCCGCCAAGUCCGAGGUGAAAUCCUCCGGCUCAACCGGAGAACUGCCUCGGAUACUGGAGGUCUCGAGGGUGGUAGGGGCACGCGGAAUUCCAGGUGUAGCGGUGAAAUGCGUAGAUAUCUGGAGGAACACCGGUGGCGAAGGCGGCGUUCUGGACUGCAACUGACACUGAAAAACGAAAGCCAGGGGAGCAAACGGG
Molecule: ribosomal RNA, 253 nt
Filed under: uncultured bacterium
Lineage: Bacteria
Description: partial 16S ribosomal RNA
Rfam family: Bacterial small subunit ribosomal RNA
Source: RNAcentral